UACGGAGGGUGCAAGCGUUAAUCGGAAUUACUGGGCGUAAAGCGCACGCAGGCGGUUUGUUAAGUCAGAUGUGAAAUCCCCGGGCUCAACCUGGGAACUGCAUCUGAUACUGGCAAGCUUGAGUCUCGUAGAGGGGGGUAGAAUUCCAGGUGUAGCGGUGAAAUGCGUAGAGAUCUGGAGGAAUACCGGUGGCGAAGGCGACGUCCUGGACGACCACUGACGCUGAGACGCGAAAGCAUGGGGAGCAAACAGG
RNAcentral lists this ribosomal RNA (253 nucleotides) under uncultured bacterium. RNAcentral's name for it is "partial 16S ribosomal RNA". It matches the Rfam family "Bacterial small subunit ribosomal RNA", at positions 524 to 776 of the family's 1533-position model. The record is from RNAcentral.